RNAcentral lists this ribosomal RNA (818 nucleotides) under uncultured marine bacterium. RNAcentral describes it as "bacterial SSU rRNA". It matches the Rfam family "Bacterial small subunit ribosomal RNA", at positions 60 to 867 of the family's 1533-position model. The record is from RNAcentral.
AGUCGAGCGCGAAAGCCUCCGGGUGAGUAAAGCGGCGAACGGGUGAGCAACACGUAAUCAACCUACCCUCGAGACCGGAAUAACCACUGGAAACGGUGGAUAAUGCCGGAUGGUCCCUUUGGUCGGCAUCGACCGUUGGGUAAACGGCAGCUUCGGCUGUUGCUCGGGGAGGGGAUUGCGGCCUAUCAGCUUGUUGGUGGGGUAACGGCCUACCAAGGCAAUGACGGGUAGCCGGUUUGAGAGGACGACCGGUCACACUGGGACUGAGACACUGCCCAGACUCCUACGGGAGGCUGCAGUCGAGAAUCUUCCGCAAUGGGCGAAAGCCUGACGGAGCGACACCGCGUGCAGGAUGAAGGCCCUAGGGUUGUAAACUGCUGUCACGCCAUAGGAAGGCCAUGUCGUUAAUAGCUGCAUGGUUGACCAAAGCGAGAGGAAGCACCGGCUAACUACGUGCCAGCAGCCGCGGUAAUACGUAGGGUGCGAACGUUGUUCGGAAUCACUGGGCAUAAAGCGCACGUAGGCGGCUAAGUCAGUUCGGUGUGAAAGCCCUCGGCUCAACCGGGGAACUGCAUCGGAUACUGCUUGGCUUGAGGACGGUUGGGGUGAGUGGAACUCUUAAUGGAGCGGUGAAAUGCGUAAAUAUCAAGAGGAACACCAGUGGCGAAAGCGACUCACUGGACCGUAUCUGACGCUGAGGUGCGAAAGCUAGGGUAGCGAACGGGAUUAGAUACCCCGGUAGUCCUAGCCGUAAACGAUGGGCACUAGGUAGGGGGGACGCCUAUGGUCUUCCCUGCCGGAGCAAAUGUGUUAAGUGC